CAUUUCCUCCCCUCCAAAUGGGGAGAAGGACCCUCUAUUCCUCAAGGUCUUGUGAGGAUUAAAUCAGCAUGGCACAUAAAGCACAUAGCAGGUGCCUCACAUCUGCAGACACCAGAGGCCCAAUCCACAUCACAGUGGCUCUCACGGGACUGGGGUCCCCCAGGCCUCAGCUACUGCUUCCUUAGGACAGUACUUCCUUCUCAGCCAAAGAAUUAACAUAAAAUUAAUAUCCUAACAUGAACAGCGACUAAGAACCAGAGCACACAUGAUCAAAUUACCAGCAUUGCCACUAACUGGCUGUACCACCUAGAAUUAGUGACUUAUCCUCUCUAUGCCUCAGUUUCCUUGUGGAUAACACCGGCUAGCAUCACUACUGAGUCAUCAUGCUUCAGGCACUCAGAACAGCACUUGACACAGGGUUAGCCGCACAGUCAACAUUGCCAGUCAGCCUCAGUGCUGUCUUUUUAGAUAGCACUCUGUCUCCAUAGAGGGGGUGUAAAGGCAGGCAUGGGAGAGAUUGUGGAUGAGGGGACUGGGCUGGGGAUCCCUAACCUUGUUCACACCCAUAGUGCUUACAACAUUACAGCUUGAUCCAUUUCUGAGUGAAUUUGCACAGCAGUUUCAAGCCUGACCCUGGG
RNAcentral lists this long non-coding RNA (638 nucleotides) under Homo sapiens (human). Its description in RNAcentral is "long non-coding RNA NONHSAT228585". Lineage: Eukaryota; Metazoa; Chordata; Mammalia; Primates; Hominidae. The record is from RNAcentral.